UGAGUGUUGUGGGGAAUGCUACGCUGC
RNAcentral lists this non-coding RNA (27 nucleotides) under Bombyx mori (domestic silkworm). The record is from RNAcentral. Lineage: Eukaryota; Metazoa; Arthropoda; Insecta; Lepidoptera; Bombycidae.